GACAGAGGAUGCAAGCGUUAUCCGGAAUGAUUGGGCGUAAAGCGUCUGUAGGUGGCUUUUUAAGUCUGCCGUCAAAUCCUAGGGCUUAACCCUGGACAGGCGGUGGAAACUACCAAGCUGGAGUACGGUAGGGGCAGGGGGAAUUCCCGGUGUAGCGGUGAAAUGCGCAGAUAUCGGGAGGAACACCGGCGGCGAAGGCGGCACUCUGGGCCGGUACUGACGCUGAGGAGCGAAAGCGUGGGUAGCAAACAGG
Molecule: ribosomal RNA, 253 nt
Filed under: uncultured bacterium
Lineage: Bacteria
Description: partial 16S ribosomal RNA
Rfam family: Bacterial small subunit ribosomal RNA
Source: RNAcentral